GGGGAGAGGCAGAGAGAGGGAGGGAGAGGGAAAGAGGGAGGGAGAGGGAGGGGGAGAGGCGGAGGGAGGGAGAGAGAUUGAGGGAGAGGG
This is a long non-coding RNA of Orcinus orca (killer whale), 90 nucleotides long. RefSeq lists it as uncharacterized. Lineage: Eukaryota; Metazoa; Chordata; Mammalia; Artiodactyla; Delphinidae. The record is from RefSeq and is a predicted model, not a curated record. The transcript is spliced from 3 exons.